Molecule: ribosomal RNA, 374 nt
Filed under: Escherichia coli
Lineage: Bacteria; Pseudomonadati; Pseudomonadota; Gammaproteobacteria; Enterobacterales; Enterobacteriaceae
Description: partial 23S ribosomal RNA
Rfam family: Bacterial large subunit ribosomal RNA
Source: RNAcentral
CUAUGUGUUGUUGGGUAGGGGAGCGUUCUGUAAGCCUGUGAAGGUGGCCUGUGAGGGUUGCUGGAGGUAUCAGAAGUGCGAAUGCUGACAUAAGUAACGAUAAAGCGGGUGAAAAGCCCGCUCGCCGGAAGACCAAGGGUUCCUGUCCAACGUUAAUCGGGGCAGGGUGAGUCGACCCCUAAGGCGAGGCCGAAAGGCGUAGUCGAUGGGAAACAGGUUAAUAUUCCUGUACUUGGUGUUACUGCGAAGGGGGGACGGAGAAGGCUAUGUUGGCCGGGCGACGGUUGUCCCGGUUUAAGCGUGUAGGCUGGUUUUCCAGGCAAAUCCGGAAAACCAAGGCUGAGGCGUGAUGACGAGGCACUACGGUGCUGAAG